Molecule: ribosomal RNA, 460 nt
Filed under: uncultured bacterium
Lineage: Bacteria
Description: partial 16S ribosomal RNA
Rfam family: Bacterial small subunit ribosomal RNA
Source: RNAcentral
CCUACGGGAGGCUGCAGUGAGGAAUAUUGGUCAAUGGACGAGAGUCUGAACCAGCCAAGUAGCGUGAAGGAUGACUGCCCUAUGGGUUGUAAACUUCUUUUAUAAAGGAAUAAAACGAGGCACGUGUGCCUUUUUGUAUGUACCAUAUGAAUAAGGAUCGGCUAACUCCGUGCCAGCAGCCGCGGUAAUACGGAGGAUCCGAGCGUUAUCCGGAUUUAUUGGGUUUAAAGGGAGCGUAGGUGGAUUGUUAAGUCAGUUGUGAAAGUUUGCGGCUCAACCGUAAAAUUGCAGUUGAAACUGGCAGUCUUGAGUACAGUAGAGGUGGGCGGAAUUCGUGGUGUAGCGGUGAAAUGCUUAGAUAUCGCGCAGAACCCCGAUUGCGAAGGCAGCGUACCGGCUCCACACUGACGCUGAGGCACGAAAGCGUGGGUAUCGAACAGGAUUAGAUACCCUGGUAGUC